RNAcentral lists this ribosomal RNA (425 nucleotides) under uncultured bacterium. Its description in RNAcentral is "partial 16S ribosomal RNA". It matches the Rfam family "Bacterial small subunit ribosomal RNA", at positions 360 to 776 of the family's 1533-position model. The record is from RNAcentral.
AAUAUUGGACAAUGGGCGCAAGUCUGAUCCAGCCAUGCCGCGUGUGUGAAGAAGGCCUUAUGGUUGUAAAGCACUUUAAGCGAGGAGGAGGCUACUUUAUAUAAUACCUAGAGAUAGUGGACGCUACUCGCAGAAAAAGCACCGGCUAACUCUGUGCCAGCAGCCGCGGUAAUACAGAGGGUGCAAGCGUUAAUAGGAUUUACUGGGCGUACAGCGCGCGUAGGCGGCUAAUUAAGUCAAAUGUGAUAUCACCGAGCUUAACAAGGGAAUAACAUUCGAUACUGGUUAGCUAGAGUGUGGGAGAGGAUGGUAGAAUUACAGGUGUAGCGGUGAAAUGAGUAGUGAUCUGGAGGAGUACCGAUAGCGAAGGCAGCCAUCUGGCCUAACACUGACGCUGAGGUGCGAAAGCAUGGGGAGCAAACAGG